GAUGAACGCUGGCGGCGUGCCUAAUACAUGCAAGUCGAGCGAACAGAUAAGGAGCUUGCUCCUUUGACGUUAGCGGCGGACGGGUGAGUAACACGUGUGUAACCUACCUAUAAGACUGGAAUAACUCCGGGAAACCGGGGCUAAUGCCGGAUAACAUUUAGAACCGCAUGGUUCUAAAGUGAAAGAUGGUUUUGCUAUCACUUAUAGAUGGACCCGCGCCGUAUUAGCUAGUUGGUAAGGUAACGGCUUACCAAGGCAACGAUACGUAGCCGACCUGAGAGGGUGAUCGGCCACACUGGAACUGAGACACGGUCCAGACUCCUACGGGAGGCAGCAGUAGGGAAUCUUCCGCAAUGGGCGAAAGCCUGACGGAGCAACGCCGCGUGAGUGAUGAAGGUCUUCGGAUCGUAAAACUCUGUUAUUAGGGAAGAACAAAUGUGUAAGUAACUGUGCACGUCUUGACGGUACCUAAUCAGAAAGCCACGGCUAACUACGUG
This 497-nucleotide ribosomal RNA is filed under the name uncultured bacterium. RNAcentral describes it as "partial 16S ribosomal RNA". It matches the Rfam family "Bacterial small subunit ribosomal RNA", at positions 28 to 507 of the family's 1533-position model. The record is from RNAcentral.